This 253-nucleotide ribosomal RNA is filed under the name uncultured bacterium. RNAcentral's name for it is "partial 16S ribosomal RNA". It matches the Rfam family "Bacterial small subunit ribosomal RNA", at positions 524 to 776 of the family's 1533-position model. The record is from RNAcentral.
UACGUAGGGGGCUAGCGUUGUCCGGAUUUAUUGGGCGUAAAGAGCGUGUAGGCGGCCAGAUAGGUCUGCUGUGAAAACUCGAGGCUCAACCUCGAGAUGUCGGCGGAAACCAUUUGGCUAGAGUCCGGAAGAGGGAAGUGGAAUUCCUGGUGUAGCGGUGAAAUGCGCAGAUAUCAGGAAGAACACCCGUGGCGAAGGCGGCUUUCUGGGACGGUACUGACGCUGAGACGCGAAAGCGUGGGGAGCGAACAGG